CUUUAUUGGAGAGUUUGAUCCUGGCUCAGGAUGAACGCUGGCGGUGUGCCUAAUACAUGCAAGUCGAGCGAAUGGAUUAAGAGCUUGCUCUUAUGAAGUUAGCGGCGGACGGGUGAGUAACACG
RNAcentral lists this ribosomal RNA (124 nucleotides) under Bacillus thuringiensis serovar yunnanensis. Its description in RNAcentral is "partial 16S ribosomal RNA". It matches the Rfam family "Bacterial small subunit ribosomal RNA", at positions 1 to 117 of the family's 1533-position model. The record is from RNAcentral. Lineage: Bacteria; Bacillati; Bacillota; Bacilli; Caryophanales; Bacillaceae.